This 1551-nucleotide ribosomal RNA is filed under the name Salmonella enterica subsp. enterica serovar London. Its description in RNAcentral is "bacterial SSU rRNA". It matches the Rfam family "Bacterial small subunit ribosomal RNA". The record is from RNAcentral. Lineage: Bacteria; Pseudomonadati; Pseudomonadota; Gammaproteobacteria; Enterobacterales; Enterobacteriaceae.
AAAUUGAAGAGUUUGAUCAUGGCUCAGAUUGAACGCUGGCGGCAGGCCUAACACAUGCAAGUCGAACGGUAACAGGAAGCAGCUUGCUGCUUUGCUGACGAGUGGCGGACGGGUGAGUAAUGUCUGGGAAACUGCCUGAUGGAGGGGGAUAACUACUGGAAACGGUGGCUAAUACCGCAUAACGUCGCAAGACCAAAGAGGGGGACCUUCGGGCCUCUUGCCAUCAGAUGUGCCCAGAUGGGAUUAGCUUGUUGGUGAGGUAACGGCUCACCAAGGCGACGAUCCCUAGCUGGUCUGAGAGGAUGACCAGCCACACUGGAACUGAGACACGGUCCAGACUCCUACGGGAGGCAGCAGUGGGGAAUAUUGCACAAUGGGCGCAAGCCUGAUGCAGCCAUGCCGCGUGUAUGAAGAAGGCCUUCGGGUUGUAAAGUACUUUCAGCGGGGAGGAAGGUGUUGUGGUUAAUAACCACAGCAAUUGACGUUACCCGCAGAAGAAGCACCGGCUAACUCCGUGCCAGCAGCCGCGGUAAUACGGAGGGUGCAAGCGUUAAUCGGAAUUACUGGGCGUAAAGCGCACGCAGGCGGUCUGUCAAGUCGGAUGUGAAAUCCCCGGGCUCAACCUGGGAACUGCAUUCGAAACUGGCAGGCUUGAGUCUUGUAGAGGGGGUAGAAUUCCAGGUGUAGCGGUGAAAUGCGUAGAGAUCUGGAGGAAUACCGGUGGCGAAGGCGGCCCCCUGGACAAAGACUGACGCUCAGGUGCGAAAGCGUGGGGAGCAAACAGGAUUAGAUACCCUGGUAGUCCACGCCGUAAACGAUGUCUACUUGGAGGUUGUGCCCUUGAGGCGUGGCUUCCGGAGCUAACGCGUUAAGUAGACCGCCUGGGGAGUACGGCCGCAAGGUUAAAACUCAAAUGAAUUGACGGGGGCCCGCACAAGCGGUGGAGCAUGUGGUUUAAUUCGAUGCAACGCGAAGAACCUUACCUGGUCUUGACAUCCACAGAACUUUCCAGAGAUGGAUUGGUGCCUUCGGGAACUGUGAGACAGGUGCUGCAUGGCUGUCGUCAGCUCGUGUUGUGAAAUGUUGGGUUAAGUCCCGCAACGAGCGCAACCCUUAUCCUUUGUUGCCAGCGGUCCGGCCGGGAACUCAAAGGAGACUGCCAGUGAUAAACUGGAGGAAGGUGGGGAUGACGUCAAGUCAUCAUGGCCCUUACGACCAGGGCUACACACGUGCUACAAUGGCGCAUACAAAGAGAAGCGACCUCGCGAGAGCAAGCGGACCUCAUAAAGUGCGUCGUAGUCCGGAUUGGAGUCUGCAACUCGACUCCAUGAAGUCGGAAUCGCUAGUAAUCGUGGAUCAGAAUGCCACGGUGAAUACGUUCCCGGGCCUUGUACACACCGCCCGUCACACCAUGGGAGUGGGUUGCAAAAGAAGUAGGUAGCUUAACCUUCGGGAGGGCGCUUACCACUUUGUGAUUCAUGACUGGGGUGAAGUCGUAACAAGGUAACCGUAGGGGAACCUGCGGUUGGAUCACCUCCUUACCUGAAAGAA